ACGCUGGCGGCACGCCUAACACAUGCAAGUCGAACGAAGUAGCAAUACUUAGUGGCAGACGGGUGAGUAACAUGUGGGUAUCUGCCCUUUGGCCUGGAAUAACACGAGGAAACUUGUGCUAAUACCGGAUAAGUCUUUACGGAGAAAGCUUUAUGCACCAUUGGAUGAGCCCGCACUUGAUUAGUUUGUUGGUAGGGUAAUGGCCUACCAAGACUGUGAUCAAUAGCUGAUUUGAGAGGAUGAUCAGCCACAUUGGGACUGAGACACGGCCCAAACUCCUACGGGAGGCAGCAGUGGGGAAUCUUGCACAAUGGAGGAAACUCUGAUGCAGCGAUGCCGCGUGAGUGAAGAAGGCCUUUGGGUUGUAAAGCUCUUUCGUCGGGGAAGAAAAUGACUGUACCCGAAUAAGAAGGUCCGGCUAACUUCGUGCCAGCAGCCGCGGUAAUACGAAGGGACCUAGCGUAGUUCGGAAUUACUGGGCUUAAAGAGUUCGUAGGUGGUUGAAAAAGUUGGUGGUGAAAUCCCAGAGCUUAACUCUGGAACUGCCAUCAAAACUUUUCAGCUAGAGUUUGAUAGAGGAAAGCAGAAUUUCUAGUGUAGAGGUGAAAUUCGUAGAUAUUAGAAAGAAUACCAAUUGCGAAGGCAGCUUUCUGGAUCAUUACUGACACUGAGGAACGAAAGCAUGGGUAGCGAAGAGGAUUAGAUACCCUCGUAGUCCAUGCCGUAAACGAUGUGUGUUAGACGUUGGAAAUUUAUUUUCAGUGUCGCAGCGAAAGCGAUAAACACACCGCCU
RNAcentral lists this ribosomal RNA (793 nucleotides) under uncultured Pelagibacteraceae bacterium. RNAcentral describes it as "bacterial SSU rRNA". It matches the Rfam family "Bacterial small subunit ribosomal RNA", at positions 33 to 874 of the family's 1533-position model. Lineage: Bacteria; Pseudomonadati; Pseudomonadota; Alphaproteobacteria; Candidatus Pelagibacterales; Candidatus Pelagibacteraceae. The record is from RNAcentral.